Molecule: ribosomal RNA, 668 nt
Filed under: uncultured bacterium
Lineage: Bacteria
Description: bacterial SSU rRNA
Rfam family: Bacterial small subunit ribosomal RNA
Source: RNAcentral
GGUAACCUACCCUGUACACACGGAUAACAUACCGAAAGGUAUGCUAAUACGGGAUAAUAUAUUUGAGAGGCAUCUCUUAAAUAUCAAAGGUGAGCCAGUACAGGAUGGACCCGCGUCUGAUUAGCUAGUUGGUAAGGUAACGGCUUACCAAGGCAACGAUCAGUAGCCGACCUGAGAGGGUGAUCGGCCACAUUGGGACUGAGACACGGUCCAAACUCCUACGGGAGGCAGCAGUGGGGAAUAUUGCACAAUGGGCGAAAGCCUGAUGCAGCAACGCCGCGUGAGUGAUGAAGGCCUUCGGGUCGUAAAACUCUGUCCUCAAGGAAGAUAAUGACGGUACUUGAGGAGGAAGCCCCGGCUAACUACGUGCCAGCAGCCGCGGUAAUACGUAGGGGGCUAGCGUUAUCCGGAUUUACUGGGCGUAAAGGGUGCGUAGGCGGUCUUUCAAGUCAGGAGUGAAAGGCUACGGCUCAACCGUAGUAAGCUCUUGAAACUGGGAGACUUGAGUGCAGGAGAGGAGAGUGGAAUUCCUAGUGUAGCGGUGAAAUGCGUAGAUAUUAGGAGGAACACCAGUUGCGAAGGCGGCUCUCUGGACUGUAACUGACGCUGUGGCACGAAAGCGUGGGGAGCAAACAGGAUUAGAUACCCUGGUAGUCCACGCUGUAAAC